UACGUAGGGGGCAAGCGUUGUCCGGAAUCAUUGGGCGUAAAGAGCGUGUAGGCGGCCAGAUAAGUCCGCUGUGAAAUCUCGAGGCUCAACUUCGAGCUGUCGGUGGAAACUGUCUGGCUAGAGUCCGGAAGAGGAGAAUGGAAUUCCUGUGUAGCGGUGAAAUGCGCAGAUAUCAGGAAGAACACCCGUGGCGAAGGCGGUUCUCUGGGACGGUACUGACGCUGAGACGCGAAAGCGUGGGGAGCGAACAGG
Molecule: ribosomal RNA, 252 nt
Filed under: uncultured bacterium
Lineage: Bacteria
Description: partial 16S ribosomal RNA
Rfam family: Bacterial small subunit ribosomal RNA
Source: RNAcentral